AACGCUAGCUACAGGCUUAACACAUGCAAGUCGAGGGGAAACGAUAUUGGAAGCUUGCUUCCGAUAGGCGUCGACCGGCGCACGGGUGAGUAACGCGUAUCCAACCUGCCCACCACUUGGGGAUAACCUUGCGAAAGUAAGACUAAUACCCAAUGAUAUCUCUAGAAGACAUCUGAAAGAGAUUAAAGAUUUAUCGGUGAUGGAUGGGGAUGCGUCUGAUUAGCUUGUUGGCGGGGUAACGGCCCACCAAGGCUACGAUCAGUAGGGGUUCUGAGAGGAAGGUCCCCCACAUUGGAACUGAGACACGGUCCAAACUCCUACGGGAGGCAGCAGUGAGGAAUAUUGGUCAAUGGGCGAGAGCCUGAACCAGCCAAGUAGCGUGCAGGAUGACGGCCCUAUGGGUUGUAAACUGCUUUUAUAAGGGAAUAAAGUGAGCCUCGUGAGGCUUUUUGUAUGUACCUUAUGAAUAAGGACCGGCUAAUUCCGUGCCAGCAGCCGCGGUAAUACGGAAGGUCCGGGCGUUAUCCGGAUGUAUUGGGUUUAAAGGGAGCGUAGGCGGACGCUUAAGUCAGUUGUGAAAGUUUGCGGCUCAACCGUAAAAUUGCAGUUGAUACUGGGUGUCUUGAGUACAGUAGAGGCAGGCGGAAUUCGUGGUGUAGCGGUGAAAUGCUUAGAUAUCACGAAGAACUCCGAUUG
Molecule: ribosomal RNA, 696 nt
Filed under: uncultured bacterium
Lineage: Bacteria
Description: bacterial SSU rRNA
Rfam family: Bacterial small subunit ribosomal RNA
Source: RNAcentral